GGACCAUAGCUCAGGAGACAGAGCCCGUGCUUUGGAUGCAGACGGUCCCAGGUUCAAUUCCUGGCAUUGCCA
This is a non-coding RNA of Podarcis lilfordi (Lilford's wall lizard), 72 nucleotides long. Lineage: Eukaryota; Metazoa; Chordata; Lepidosauria; Squamata; Lacertidae. The record is from the annotation of a GenBank genome assembly.